Molecule: ribosomal RNA, 254 nt
Filed under: uncultured bacterium
Lineage: Bacteria
Description: partial 16S ribosomal RNA
Rfam family: Bacterial small subunit ribosomal RNA
Source: RNAcentral
UACGGGGGGAGCAAGCGUUGUUCGGAUUUACUGGGCGUAAAGGGCGCGUAGGCGGUCAGCACAAGUCAGUUGUGAAAUCUCCGGGCUUAACCCGGAAAGGUCAACUGAUACUGUGCGACUAGAGUGCGGAAGGGGCAACUGGAAUUCUCGGUGUAGCGGUGAAAUGCGUAGAUAUCGAGAGGAACACCUGCGGCGAAGGCGGGUUGCUGGGCCGACACCGACGCUGAUGCGCGAAAGCCAGGGGAGCGAACGGG